This is a long non-coding RNA of Orcinus orca (killer whale), 7680 nucleotides long. RefSeq lists it as uncharacterized. The transcript has 3 exons. NCBI's taxonomy places the organism in Eukaryota, Metazoa, Chordata, Mammalia, Artiodactyla, Delphinidae. The record is from RefSeq and is a predicted model, not a curated record.
ACUGGCAGGCGGACACCCAACCACUGUGCCACCAGGGAAGUCCUUGGAGACUUUUUGAUGAUGGCCAUUCUGACCCGUGUGAGGUGAUACCUCAUUGUAGUUUUGAUUUGCAUUUCUCUAAUAGUUAGUGAUGUUGAGCAUCUUUUCAUGUGUUGGUUGGCCAUCUGUAUGACAUUUCUUUGGAGAAAUGUCUGUUUAGAUCUUUUGCCAUUUUUUGAUUGGGUUGUUUGUUUUUUGAUAUAGAGCUGCAUGAGCUGUUUGUAUAUUUUGGAGAUGAAGCCCUUGUUGGUUGCUUCGUUUGCAAAUAUUUUUUCCCAUUCUGUAGGUUGACUUUUCAUUUUGCGUGUGGUUUCCUUUGCUGUGCAAAGGCUUUUGAGUUUAGUUAGAUCCCAUUUGUUUAUUUUUAUUUUCAUUUUGUUUUUAUUUUCAUUACUCUGGGAGGUGGAACGAAAAAGAUCUUGCUGAGAUUUAUGUCAGAGUGUUGUGCCUAUGUUUUCCUCUAAGAGUUUUAUAGUGUCUGACCUUACAUUUAGGUCUUUAAUCCAUUUUGAGUUUAUUUUUGUGUAUGGUACUAGAGAAUGUUCUAAUUUCAUUCUUUUACAUGUAGCUGUCUGGUUUUCCCAGCACCACUUAUUGAAAAGACUGUCUUUUCUCCAUUGUAUAUUCUUGCCUCCUUUGUCGUAGAUUGACCAUAGGUGCAUCGGUUUAUUUCUGGGCUUUCUAUCCUGUUCCAUUGAUCUGAUUUCUGUUUUUGUGCCAGUACCAUACUGUUUUGAUUAGUGUAGCUUUGCAGUAUAGCCUGAAGUCAGGGAGUCUGAAUCCUCCAGCUCCAUAUUUCUUUCUGAGGAUUACUUUCGCUAUUCGGGGUCUUUUGUGUUUCCAUGCAAAUUAAAAUUUUUUUGUUCUAGUUCUGUGAAAAAUGCUAUUGGUAAUUUGAUAGGGAUUGCAUUGAAUCUGUAGAUUGUCUUGGGUGGUACAGUCAUUUUGACAAUAUUGAUUCUUCCAAUCUAAGAACAUGGUGUAUCUUUCCAUCUGUUUAUAGCAUCUUCGAUUUCUUUCAUCAACGUCUUAUAGUUUUCAGAGUACAGGUCUUUUACCUCCUUAGGUAGGUUUAUUUCUAUGUAUUUUAUUCUUUUUGAUGUGAUGGUAAAUGGGACUGUUUCUUUAAUUUCUCUCUUUCUGCUCUUUCAUUGUUAGUGUAUAGGAAUACAAAAUAUUUCUGUGUAUUAAUUUUGUAUCCUGCAACUUCACUAAAUUCAUUGAUGAGUUCUAGUAGUUUUCUGAUAGCAUCUUUAGGAUUUUCUAUGUAUAGUAUCAUGUCAUCUGCAAACAGAGACAAAUUUACUUCUUUUCCAAUUUGGAUUCCUUUUAUUUCCUUUUCUUCUCUGAUUGCCGUGCCUAGGACUUCCAAAACUAUGUUGAAUAAAAGUGGCAAGAGUGGAUAUCCUUGUCUAGUUCCUGAUCUUAGAGGAAAUGCUUUCAGAUUUUCACCAUUGAGAAUAAUGUUAGCUGUGGGCUUGGCAUAUAUGGUCUUUAUUAUGUUGAGGUAGGUUCCCUCUAUGCCCACAUUCUGGAGAGUUUUUAUCAUAAAUGGGUGUUGAGUUUUGUCAAAAGGUUUUUUUACAUCCACUGAAAUGAUCAUAUGGCUCUUAUUUUUCAGUCUAUUAAUGUGGUAUAUAACACUGAUUGAUUUGUGGAUAAUGAAGAAUUCUUGCAUCCCUGGGAUAAACCCCACUUGAUCAUGGUGUAUGAUCCUUUUAAUGUAUUGUUGGAUUUGGUUUGCUAGUAUUUUGCUGAGGAUUUUUGCAUCUAUGUUCAUCAGAGAUGUUGGCCUGUAAUUUUCUUUUUUUGUGGUAUCUUUGCUUGGUUUUGGUAUCAAGGUGAUGGUGGCCUCAUAGAGUGAGUUUGGGAGUGUUCCUUCCUCUGAAAUUCUUUGGAAGAGUUUCAGAAGUGCAGGUGUUAACUCUUCUCUAAAUGUUUGACAGAAUUCACCUGUGAAGCCAUCUGGUCCUGGACUUUUGUCUGUUGGAAGUUUUUUAAAUCACAGUUUCAAUUUCAGUACUUGUGAUUGGUCUGUUCAUGUUUUCUAUUUCUUCCUGGUUCAGUCUUGGAAGUUUGUAGCUUUCUAAGAAUUUGUCCAUUUCUUCCAGGUUGUCCAUUUUAUUGGCAUAUUGUUGCUUGUAGUAGUCUCUUAUGAUCCUUUGAAUUUCUGUAGUUUCAGUUGUCACUUCUUUUCAUUUCUAAUUUUAUUGAUUUGAGCCCUCUCCCUUUUUUUAUGAGUCUGGCUAAAGGUUUAUCAAUUUUGUUUAUCUUUUUGAAGAACCAGCUUUUAGUUUCAUUGACUUUUCUAUUGUUUUCUUCUUCUUUAUUUCAUUUAUUUCUGCUCUGAUCUUCAUGAUUUCUUUCCUUCUGCUAACUUUGGGUUCUGUUUGUUCUUCUUUCUCUAGUUGCUUUAGGUGUAAAGUUAGGUUGUUUGAGAUUUUUCUUGUUUCCUGAGGUAAGAUUUUAUUGCUAUAAACUUCCCUCUUAGAACUGCUUUUGCUGCAUCCCAUAGGUUUUAGAGUGUGGUAUUUUCAUUGUCAUUUGUCUCUAGUGUUUUUUGAUUUCCUCUUUGAUUUCUUCAGUGGUCCAUUGGUUGUUUAGUAACAUAUUGUUUAGCCUCCACAUGUUAGUGGGUUUUUUGUUUUUUUUUUUUCUUUUCCGGUAUGAAGGCCUCUCACUGUUGUGGCCUCUCCUGUUGCGGAGCACAGGCUCCGGACGCGCAGGCUCAGCAGCCAUGGCUCACGGGCCCAGCCACUCCGCGGCCUGUGGGGUCUUCCAGGACCGGGGCAUGAACCCGUGUCCCCUGCAUCAACAGGCGGACUUUCAACCAUUGCACCACCAGGGAAGCCCCAUGUUGGUGUUUUUUACAGUUUUUUUCUUGUGAUUGAUUUCUAAUCUCAUAGUGUUGUGGUCGGGAAAGUUGCUUGAUAUGAUUUCAGUUUUCUUAAAUUUACUCAGUGCUUGCUAUGUGGCCCAGAAUGUGAUCUAUCCUGGAGAAUGUUCCAUGUGCACUUGAGAAGAAGGUGUAUUCUGCUGCUUUUGGAUGGAAUGUUCUGUAAAUAUCAGUUAAUCCCCUUGGUCUAAUGUGUCAUUUAAGGCCUGUGUUUCCUUAUUGAUUUUCUAUCUGGAUGAUGUUCAUUGAUGUAAGUGGGGUGUUAAAGUCCCCCAGUUUUAUUGUGUUACUGUUGAUUUCUCCUUUUAUGGCUGUUAGCAUUUGCCUUAUAUAUUGGGGUGCUCCUAUGUUGGGCACAUGUAUAUUUACAAGUGUUAGAUCUCUUGGAUUGAUCCCUUUAUCAUUAUGCAGUGUCCUUCUUUGUCUCUUAUAAAUCUUCAUUUUAAAGUCGAUUUUGUCUGAUAUGAGUAUUGCUACUCCAGCUUUCUUUUGAUUUCCAUUUGCAUGGAAUACCUUUAUCCAUGCCCUCGCUUUCAGUCUGUAUAUGUCCCUAGAUCUAAAGUGGGUCUCUAGUGGACACUAUAUAUACAGGUCUUGUUUUCAUGUCCAUUCAGCCAGCCUGUGUCUUUUGGUUGGAGCAUUUAAUCCAUUUUCCUUUGAAGUAAUUAUCAUAUGUAUGUUCUUAUUGCCAUCUUGUUAAUUGUUUUGGAUUUGUUUUUGUAGGUCUUUUUUCUUCCCUUCCUCUUUUUUUUUUCCUUGUGAUUUGGUGACUAUCUUUUGUGUUGUGUUUGGAUUGCUUUUUCUUUUUUGUAUGUGUAUCUAUUGUAGGUUUUUGGUUUGCUGUUCCCAUGAGGUUUUGAUAUAGCACUCUGUAUAUAAACAAGAUUGUUUUAAGUUGCUGGUCUCUUAAUAUCAAAUGCAUUUCCAGUACCCUGCAUUUGUACUCUCCUCAGGAUUGCUGGUUUUGAUAAAUUUGUGUGUAAAUGAUUUCCUACGUUUACUGUAUGUUUGCCUUUACUGGUGAGCUUUCCCAUUCGUAAUUUUCUUGUUUCUAGUUGUGGCCUUUUCUGCCUAGAGAAGUUCCUUUAGCAUUUGUUGUAAAGCUGGUUUGGUGGUGCUGAAUUCUAUUAGCUUUUGAUUGUCUGUAAAGCUUUUCAUUUCUCUGUCAAAGCUGAACAAGAGCCUUGCUGGGUAGAGUACUCUUGGUUGUAGGUUUUUCCCUUGUAUCACUUAAAUACAUAGUGCUACUCCCUUCUGGCCUGCAGGGUUUCUGCUGAAAAAAUCAGCUGAUAACCUUAUGGGGAUUCCCUUGUUUCUUAUUUGUUGCUUUUCCCUUGUUGCUUUUAACAUUUUCUCUUUGUUUUUAAUUUUUGUCAGUUUUACUAAUAUAUGUGUCUCGACAUGUUCCUCCUUGGGUUUAUCCUGUAUGGGACUCUGCACUUCGUGGACUUGAGUGAGUAUUCCCUUUCCCAUGUUAGGGAAGUUUUUAGUUAUAAUCUCUUCAAAUGUUUUCUCAGGUCCUUUCUCUCUCUCUUCUCUUCCGGGACCCCUGUAAUGGGAAUGUUGGUGUGUUUAAUGUUGUCCCAGAAGUCUCUUAGACUGUCCUCAUUUCCUUUCAUUCUUCUUUCUUUAUUCUGUUCUGUGGCAGUGAUUCCCAUCACUCUUUCAGCUCACUUAUUUGUUCUUCUGUCUCACUUAUUCUGCUAUUGAUUCAUUCUAGUGUAUUUUUCAUUUCAAUUAUUAUAUUGUUCAUCUGUUUGUUCUUUAAAUCUUCUAGCUCUUUGUUAAACAUUUCUUGUAUCUUCUUGGUCUGUGCCUCCAUUCUUUUUCCAAGAUCUUGGGUCGUCUUUACUAUCAUUACCUUGAAUUGUUUUUCAAAUAGAUUGCCUAUCUCCAAUUCACUUAGUUGUUCUUCCGGGGUUUUAUCUUGUUUGCUUGUCUGGAAUAUGUUUCUCUGCCAUUUCAUUUUGUCUAACUUUCUGUGUUUUUGGUCUCCUUUCCUCAGGCUGCAGGAUUGUAGUUCCUCUUGCUUCUGGUGUCUGCCCCCCCAGUGGGUGAGAUUGAUUUAGGGGCUUGUGCAGGCUUCCUGGUGGGAGGGACUGGCACCUGCCCACUGGUGCAUGGAGGUGGGUCUUGUCCCUCUGGUGGGCAGAAAUAUGUCAAGGAGUGUGUUUAGAGGUGGCUGUGAGCUCAGUACAACUUUAGGCUGCCUGUCUGCUGAUGGGUGGGGCUAUGUCUCCCCACCCCACGACUGCUGGUUGUUUGGCCUGAGGCCUCCCAGCACUGGAGCCUGCAGGCUGUAGGGUGGGGCCCACUUCUUGGUGCCAAAAUGGUGACCUCUGGGAGAGCUCACACCAAUCAAUAUUCCCUGGGUCCUUCACCACAGGUGUCCUCGCACAGAGAGAGCCACAAUCAACCCCCACCUCUUCAGGAGACCCUCCAAUACCCGCAGGUAUGUCUAGUCCAGUCUCCUAUGAAGUCACUGCUUUGUGCUGGGUCCCAGUGCACGUGAAAACUUGUGUGCGCCCUCCAAGAGUGGAGUCUCUGUUUCCCUCAGUCCUGUGGAGCUCCUGCACUCAAGCCCCACUGGCCUUCAAAGCUAAAUGCUCUGGGGGCUCCUCCUCCUGAUGCCGGACCCUCCGGCUGGGGAGCCUGACGUGGGGCUCAGAACUCUCCUGUGGGAGAACCUCUGUGACAUAAUUAUUUUCCAGUUUGUGGGUCACCUACCCAGUGGGUAUGGGGUUUGAUUAUAUGGGGUGUGUGGGUGCGGUGACCCGUGUGUGCUCCCAGUACGGUGGAGGCAGCAAUCAGCCCCUGUUCAUGGGUCUUCCAGUGGCAGCAGUGGCCCCCAUGCCCCCGGGAUAGUGGGGGCAGCAACUGGCACGUGCUCCUGUGUUUCUUAGUGGUGGUGGCAGCCCAUGCACUCCCGGGACAGCAGGGGCAGGGAUUGGCACCUGCUUCCAUGUCUCCCAUUCUUUGUUUUCUUGUGCAAAAUUGUCUUGGUUAUUCCUGGACUGUUACUGUUCCAGAUAAAAUUUUAAUAUCGUUGUCAGGUUUCACAAAAACUGUUGCUUUUGCCUUCAUUUCUUGAGUGAAGUUUAGCUUUUAAAGCUUAAUAUUACUAUUGUAGAAUCACUAGCUUCUUAUAAGCUUCAUUUCUGUCUUUUCCAGCAUAGCUGUUCUUCUCUUCUUCAAUAGAUUCACACUUGGAAGUGUUCCAACAGAAUGAGAACCUGACUAUCCUUAGUGGCUGAUACAGGCUUAUUGCAGUUACAGGAAUGCUGAUUGUUCCAUAACAUAUGUAACUAAUCUGGGUACAUUUUGUAGACUGGUGAUAAAACACAUCACAUCUUAAAUCUCUGAACGAUGUGCUUACAUGUGUAUGUGUAUUUAUAUGUGUGUACACACCUUCAAAUAAAAAGCAGAAACAAAACCAUCUUGGGCCUUUGAUUUGAAGCACUCUGCACUUCCCAGGUGAUUCUGCUUCUGCUUUACUGAGCCAGCUACUAAGGGAACCUCAAUGCGAUGAUGAAUAGACUCGCCUCAAAAAGGAGGAUGAAGGGGCGCAGAAUAUGCCAUCCCAAAAUAUGCCUCUUUGGCAUAAGGAUUAUUUUGAGCGGAUUAUUUUUAAGAAACAGAAGAAAAGCUCUAAAAAUCUAGUAGAAGUUACUCAUUUGUAGGAGACAUUUACAUUUAUAAGAGAAAUUUUUAUUUGUAAGUAUGUCUUCUAAUCUGUGCCAGGAAGAGAAGGAUGACUCUAAAUCACAAGGAACUCUUAUCAGUGGAGAAGAUACCCAACUUAAAUCUGCAUAACAACCUUACUCUGUUUACUGUGUUUUUCCUAGUAACUUCCCAUAACUGGCCUUCUCCACCUCCCAACAUUUUUCUUGUUUCUUUAGCUGAAAAAGGAAUUUAAGAUGAUGGCUUGGGCUAUUUGAGGGAGUUAGUUUUCCAGGGUCUCCCCCAUGUAUACAGGAUGUAUACAUGUUAUUUGUUUUCUAUUUGUUUUUCUCCUGUUAAUCUGUCUUUUAUUACAGGGGCGGGGUCUCAGCCAACAACCUAGAAUGGUAGAGGGAAAAUUUUUUUUCCUCACUGACAGUUUGGUGACCCGUGAUGGGAUCUGCUGAAACACUGUACUUCUUCUGGAGCCUGAAGAUAGGAACCUGGAAAACUGGCAGAAGCCAGCAAAGGACAUGCCUCUUAUUAAUACCCAAUUGCUCGCACCGUAUAAGGCUAACUUCGGGAUCCCACCUGCAACACCAGCUCCUGAAAUGAGACACAACUGUUUAACUGAGCUGACCUGUCCUCGAGAUUAAGAGACAAAAGCACCAUUUUCACUGCUCUGAAGAAAGAAGAACACAGAAACCAGAUGUCCUACAUGUGUGUUUCACUCACUAAUUCCCAGGGUGACAGUGGAAGGAGCUGCUUUUGAAGUGUCGCCCUGCUGGCUUCACACUUGGAUCCCCGGCCGCCUGGGUGACAGUCGCUUUCGAGCCCAGCCAGCCCCUCUGGCUGGAAUCCAGGGCCCGGUGGGCAGCCCCAUUCUCCAGCAGGUCCUCACAGGGGGAGUCCCUACACCAUUAACCGCCCAGCACUGCAGGGCCCAGAGCCUUCUCACUGACUAGGGGAGACUGUUCCCUAGUCAGAAGCCAGAGUUCCUGUUCUUUCAACAGAUACUUAAUCAUUUUCGUUAAAACCUUUAUUCAUUAACAUAUUCUAGAUAAUAAAAGCCUAAUUUAAUACUA